UACUAAUUAUGUAUAUGCUAUAUCUUAAUUAAUGAUAAAUCAUAUCUUCAUUCCAAAUUAGUCUUUGUUAUAAAUACAAUUUUAUCUUACAUAAAUAGUUCUCUUCUGAAAUCUAUCAAAUUGUGUUGACAUUAUUACAACUUAUAAAAACAUAUUAUUUAUUUGAAGGAGUUUAUAAGAUUAUAAUAAUUUGAAUUUGUAGCUGGACUAAUUUAAUUAUUUUGUUUGUACAUGAAUCAUCAUGCGUCUAAUUUAAUUAUUUUGUUUGUGCAUGAAUCAUCAUGCGUCAGUUUCUCAAUCCAACUUUGGUAGAAAUUUUAGGCCAUUAGGACGUUGUUUGGUAUGGUGGCCGUUUAUUGGCUUGGAAAUGGGAAUAAAAAUGUAAAAUGUAAUUCAUAUUUUUUUUUUUAAAAAAAAUAAUUGUAAUUCAUGUAUUAGAGGAAAUACAUUCUCAUAUAUGUUUUUUAAGAAAGAAAAUAAUAUUUGUUUUUGGUAAGACUCGGGAAAUAAUGAUAUCAACUGUAUUAAUUUUUCAUCAAAUUUUAUCGCAAAUCAUCGCUAAUCAUUACAAAAUUAUCGUUUUGCAUUGAUUUGACUUUUUUUUUGUUAUUAUAAGCACGUUUUAAAGGACUAUCGUUAAGCAUCGCUAACAUUAUCUAUUGUCUCAAAAUCAAUUUUUCAUAGAACCAUCAUUAAGCAAUAAUAAAGCAUUAUUUUUGCCUCAAAAAUUAUAUUUUAUGGGAUUAUCCUUAAUCAUUUAUUUAUAUACAGAGAGAGAAGGCUUGUGAGGGAAGAUAGAAAUAGAGUCAGAUGAGACUAUGGGAGGGACAAUUUUGUGAAAAUUCUAAGCAUGUCCACAUAAGUCAAGAUUGAGGAACGUGGAAUACAGCUUUAUCAAUAGCAGGACAAAGUUUCCUUACCAUGGCAAAACCGUCAAGCAACAAGUGAAAGGAGUUAAGCAAAUCGUCAAGAAGUUUGUACAACCAUGUCUAGCCGGCCAAGGGGAGUUCAUAGACCGGCCAGAGGAAAGUUAUAGGUCGGCCAGGGUUUGAGCACAAGUUGGUUGGCCAAUAAGGCUAUCACACCAAGAAAGGCUUGUUCGACCAAGGAAGCCUGACUUUUACAAGGAAAGUUGUACAAUAAAGUUAUUAAGGUUGGCCAACACAUACUAAGGCUAGCCAACACAUACUAAGACUGACCAACACGUACCAAAGCUCGCAGGCACAUGGAAAAGCUGACAGGCACAGAAAGCUGGCAGACACAUCCUAAGGCUGCAGGAGCAAUACCUAGCCGACCAUGGUACAGCAUAGGCCGGCCAGCCUCCAACAAAUGGUAGGUCGGGCAGCUUCUCUUCUGGCAGACACUUUUGGUGUCUUUGCAGCUUUCAACUUGGACAGAUACUCUCAGCUACGAGUUGGCUUCAACAACCCACAAAAAUAGGGGUUCAACUUCAGAUAUUUAUCUAUUCUUUAGGAAUAAUUAAUAGGUUAUUUUCUUAUAUAUUUAAUACGCAACAAAUAGGUGAUAUCUCCUCAUUUUAAGGGAUAUCAACCUACUUUGGCUUAGAUCUUCUGUAACCUCUCUCCUAUAUACUCUCAUAUAUAAAGAGCACUAGGCUAAACCUAAAGGGCUAAGUUCUAAUUCAUGAGUUCUAAGUUCUAACUCUGGAAACCCUAGAACACUUGCACUCUCUACUUCUCUCUCCCACACGCCACUUGCAUCAUACAAAACACUAAGUCACAUCUUCUCAUAAGUCCUCCAUAAGAACUCUUCAGUUCUUGAUGUGAUGAGUUCUUGAUGUGUCUAGCAUCAUUCUCACUAUUGUAAUUCAAAGAGAGCCAUCCUAGAACCUACAACACUUGUGAUCGGAGUGGUAUUAUCUAUCAUAUCAAUACAACUAAAAGGGAGAGUAGGCCAUUUCCCACUAAACAAAGGAGUUGAACCUCUAUAAAUUUUUAUUUCUCUUUUAUCA
This is a long non-coding RNA of Cannabis sativa, 1972 nucleotides long. RefSeq lists it as uncharacterized. The record is from RefSeq and is a predicted model, not a curated record. The transcript has 2 exons. Lineage: Eukaryota; Viridiplantae; Streptophyta; Magnoliopsida; Rosales; Cannabaceae.